This 800-nucleotide ribosomal RNA is filed under the name Halomonas sp. Mg65. Its description in RNAcentral is "bacterial SSU rRNA". It matches the Rfam family "Bacterial small subunit ribosomal RNA", at positions 86 to 888 of the family's 1533-position model. The record is from RNAcentral. Lineage: Bacteria; Pseudomonadati; Pseudomonadota; Gammaproteobacteria; Oceanospirillales; Halomonadaceae.
UGCUGACGAGCGGCGGACGGGUGAGUAACGCAUAGGAAUUUACCCGGUAGUGGGGGAUAACCUGGGGAAACUCAGGCUAAUACCGCAUACGUCCUACGGGAGAAAGGGGGCUUUGGCUCCCGCUAUCGGAUGAGCCUAUGCCGGAUUAGCUGGUUGGUGAGGUAAUGGCUCACCAAGGCGACGAUCCGUAGCUGGUCUGAGAGGAUGAUCAGCCACAUCGGGACUGAGACACGGCCCGAACUCCUACGGGAGGCAGCAGUGGGGAAUAUUGGACAAUGGGGGCAACCCUGAUCCAGCCAUGCCGCGUGUGUGAAGAAGGCCCUCGGGUUGUAAAGCACUUUCAGCGAGGAAGAACGCCUGGUGGUUAAUACCCGCCAGGAAAGACAUCACUCGCAGAAGAAGCACCGGCUAACUCCGUGCCAGCAGCCGCGGUAAUACGGAGGGUGCAAGCGUUAAUCGGAAUUACUGGGCGUAAAGCGCGCGUAGGUGGCUUGAUAAGCCGGUUGUGAAAGCCCCGGGCUCAACCUGGGAACGGCAUCCGGAACUAUGAGGCUAGAGUGCAGGAGAGGAAGGUAGAAUUCCCGGUGUAGCGGUGAAAUGCGUAGAGAUCGGGAGGAAUACCAGUGGCGAAGGCGGCCUUCUGGACUGACACUGACACUGAGGUGCGAAAGCGUGGGUAGCAAACAGGAUUAGAUACCCUGGUAGUCCACGCCGUAAACGAUGUCGACCAGCCGUUGGGUGCCUAGCGCACUUUGUGGCGAAGUUAACGCGAUAAGUCGACCGCCUGGGGAGUACGGCCG